RNAcentral lists this ribosomal RNA (298 nucleotides) under uncultured bacterium. Its description in RNAcentral is "partial 16S ribosomal RNA". It matches the Rfam family "Bacterial small subunit ribosomal RNA", at positions 334 to 649 of the family's 1533-position model. The record is from RNAcentral.
CUUACCUACGGGGGGCAGCAGUGGGGGAUAUUGCACAAUGGGGGGAACCCUGAUGCAGCGACGCCGCGUGGGCGAAGAAGUAUUUCGGUAUGUAAAGCCCUAUCAGCAGGGAAGAAAAUGACGGUACCUGAAGAAGAAGCCCCGGCUAACUACGUGCCAGCAGCCGCGGUAAUACGUAGGGGGCAAGCGUUAUCCGGAUUUACUGGGUGUAAAGGGGGCGCAGACGGCGAUGCAAGCCAGGAGUGAAAGCCCGGGGCCCAACCCCGGGACUGCUCUUGGAACUGCGUGGCUGGAGCGC